AUUGAACGCUGGCGGCAUGCUUUACACAUGCAAGUCGAACGGUAGAGGGGGCAACCCCUUGAGAGUGGCGAACGGGUGAGUAAUGCAUCGGAACGUGCCCAGUCGUGGGGGAUAACUACUCGAAAGAGUGGCUAAUACCGCAUACGACCUGAGGGUGAAAGCGGGGGACCGAAAGGCCUCGCGCGAUUGGAGCGGCCGAUGUCAGAUUAGGUAGUUGGUGGGGUAAAGGCCUACCAAGCCUGCGAUCUGUAGCUGGGUCUGAGAGGACGACCAGCCACACUGGGACUGAGACACGGCCCAGACUCCUACGGGAGGCAGCAGUGGGGAAUAUUGGACAAUGGGCGAAAGCCUGAUCCAGCAAUGCCGCGUGAGUGAAGAAGGCCUUCGGGUUGUAAAGCUCUUUUACCCGGGAAGAUAAUGACUGUACCGGGAGAAUAAGCCCCGGCUAACUCCGUGCCAGCAGCCGCGGUAAGGAGUAGUACA
This 483-nucleotide ribosomal RNA is filed under the name uncultured bacterium. RNAcentral describes it as "bacterial SSU rRNA". It matches the Rfam family "Bacterial small subunit ribosomal RNA", at positions 29 to 536 of the family's 1533-position model. The record is from RNAcentral.